CCGAUCAUACGGUCGCGUGGCGUUGCCAUGAGGAAAGUCCGAGCACCGCAGAGCAGGACGCCGGAUAACGUCCGGUGGAGGCGACUCCAAGGAUAGUGCAACAGAAACAGACCGCAGGGCAUGCCCUGCAAGGAUGGAAAGGGGAGGUAAGAGCUCACCGACGCCGCGGUAACGCGGCGUGCUGUGUAAACCCCGUCCGGUGCAAGAUUGGGCUUAUGCCGAUAUGGGUUGCUCGCCCGGCAUAAGCCGUGAACAUCGCUAGAGUUCGCCGGCAACGGCGUUCCCAGAUAGAUGACCGUACACGACAGAACUCGGCUUACAGAUCGAU
This 328-nucleotide RNase P RNA is filed under the name chicken gut metagenome. RNAcentral's name for it is "Bacterial RNase P class A". It matches the Rfam family "Bacterial RNase P class A". Rfam says of the family: Ribonuclease P (RNase P) is a ubiquitous endoribonuclease, found in archaea, bacteria and eukarya as well as chloroplasts and mitochondria. The record is from RNAcentral.